AUUGAACGCUGGCGGCAGGCCUAACACAUGCAAGUCGAACGAGUGGCGGACGGGUGAGUAAUAUAUCGGAACGUACCGAGUAAUGGGGGAUAACUAAUCGAAAGAUUAGCUAAUACCGCAUAUUAUUCGAGCGGCCGAUAUCUGAUUAGCUAGUUGGUGGGGUAAAGGCCUACCAAGGCGACGAUCAGUAGCGGGUCUGAGAGGAUGAUCCGCCACAAUGGGACUGAGACACGGCCCAGACUCCUACGGGAGGCAGAAGUGGGGAAUUUUGGACAAUGGGCGCAAGCCUGAUCCAGCCAUGCCGCGUGUCUGAAGAAGGCCUUCGGGUUGUAAAGGACUUUUGUCAGGGAAGCGGUACCUGAAGAAUAAGCACCGGCUAACUACGUGCCAGCAGCCGCGGUAAUAC
RNAcentral lists this ribosomal RNA (406 nucleotides) under uncultured bacterium. Its description in RNAcentral is "partial 16S ribosomal RNA". It matches the Rfam family "Bacterial small subunit ribosomal RNA", at positions 30 to 526 of the family's 1533-position model. The record is from RNAcentral.